RNAcentral lists this ribosomal RNA (204 nucleotides) under Triticum aestivum (bread wheat). Its description in RNAcentral is "partial small subunit ribosomal RNA". The record is from RNAcentral. Lineage: Eukaryota; Viridiplantae; Streptophyta; Magnoliopsida; Poales; Poaceae.
AUGCUUAAGGGGAAAACAAUUGAUGCGUUUUUCAAAAGAAAGAGAGGUGAUUCAACUGAAUGUGAAGUUGAUGAACCAAUAGCAACAGAAGCAAUUCCUGUUCCGCCUCCUCUGUUGUUGCUCGAAUUUGAGCAACAUGGACCACAUCCUUCGAUGCCUCAACAACAAGGCCAUCAAACUCAAACAAAUGAAGUACAAUUUUGA